AGAGUUUGAUCCUGGCUCAGAACGAACGCUGGCGGCAGGCCUAACACAUGCAAGUCGAACGCUCCGCAAGGGGCGUGGCAGACGGGUGAGUAACGCGUGGGAACGUACCCUUCGGUUCGGAAUAACUCAGGGAAACUUGGGACAAUACCGGAUACGUCCGUGAGGAGAAAGAUUUAUCGCCGAAGGAUCGGCCCGCGUUGGAUUAGCUAGUUGGCGGGGUAAUGGCCCACCAAGGCGACGAUCCAUAGCUGGUCUGAGAGGAUGAUCAGCCACACUGGGACUGAGACACGGCCCAGACUCCUACGGGAGGCAGCAGUGGGGAAUAUUGGACAAUGGGCGAAAGCCUGAUCCAGCCAUGCCGCGUGAGUGAUGAAGGCCCUAGGGUUGUAAAGCUCUUUCAGCGGGGAAGAUAAUGACGGUACCCGCAGAAGAAGCCCCGGCUAACUUCGUGCCAGCAGCCGCGGUAAUACGAAGGGGGCUAGCGUUGUUCGGAAUCACUGGGCGUAAAGCGCGUGUAGGCGGAUCGUUAAGUCGGGGGUGAAAUCCUGAGGCUCAACCUCAGAACUGCCUUCGAUACUGGCGAUCUUGGAGUCCGGGAGAGGUGAGUGGAACUCCUAGUGUAGAGGUGAAAUUCGUAGAU
This 640-nucleotide ribosomal RNA is filed under the name uncultured bacterium. RNAcentral's name for it is "bacterial SSU rRNA". It matches the Rfam family "Bacterial small subunit ribosomal RNA", at positions 8 to 695 of the family's 1533-position model. The record is from RNAcentral.